This is an RNA transcript of Teleopsis dalmanni, 1635 nucleotides long. It is a transcript of the gene named NADH-ubiquinone oxidoreductase chain 5-like, with no coding region annotated. The transcript has a single exon. Lineage: Eukaryota; Metazoa; Arthropoda; Insecta; Diptera; Diopsidae. The record is from RefSeq and is a predicted model, not a curated record.
AAUUUAUCUUUAUGUAGAAUAAGAUUUUGAUUAUUAAUUAAUUUAAGAAUUAUUUCUUUUAUUUUUGGUUUAAUAUUUAUUAAUCAUGAUUAUUCAAUUUUUUUAGAAUGAGAAUUAAUUUCUUUAAAUAGAAUUAGAAUUGUAAUAACUUUUUUAUUUGAUUGAAUAAGAUUAAUUUUUAUAUGUUUUGUAUUAUUAAUUUCGUCUUUAGUAAUUUAUUAUAGAAAAGAAUAUAUAGCAGGAGAUAUAAAUAUUAAUCGAUUUAUUUUAUUAGUUUUGUUAUUUGUUAUAUCAAUGAUAUUUUUAAUUAUUUCUCCAAAUUUAAUUAGAAUUUUAUUAGGAUGAGAUGGUUUAGGGUUAGUUUCUUAUUUAUUAGUGAUUUAUUUUCAAAAUGUAAAAUCUUAUAAUGCAGGUAUAUUAACUGUUUUAUCAAAUCGUAUUGGAGAUGUUGCUUUAUUAUUAGCGAUUGCUUGAAUAUUAAAUUAUGGAUCUUGAAAUUAUAUUUUUUUAUUAAAAUUUAAUAUUUUAGAUAUAAAUAUAUUGAUUAUUGGUAUAUUAAUUGUAUUGGCGGCAAUAACUAAAAGAGCUCAAAUUCCAUUUUCAGCUUGGUUACCUGCAGCAAUAGCAGCCCCUACUCCUGUGUCAGCUUUGGUACAUUCAUCUACUCUUGUUACUGCUGGAGUUUAUUUAUUAAUCCGGUUUAAUUUAUUAAUUGGAGAUACAAUUUUAGGACAAAGAUUGUUAUUAAUUUCAGGAUUGACAAUAUUUAUAUCAGGGUUAGGAGCUAAUUUUGAGUUUGAUUUAAAAAAAAUUAUUGCAUUAUCUACUUUAAGUCAAUUGGGGUUAAUAAUGAGAAUUUUAUCUAUAGGAUUUUAUAAAUUAGCUUUUUUCCAUUUAUUAACUCAUGCUUUAUUUAAAGCAUUAUUAUUUAUGUGUGCUGGGGCUAUUAUUCAUAAUAUAAAUAAUUUACAAGACAUUCGUUUAAUAGGAGGAUUAAGAAGUUAUAUACCUUUUACAUGUAGAUAUUUUAAUAUUGCUAAUUUAGCUUUAUGUGGAAUACCUUUUUUGGCUGGAUUUUAUUCUAAAGAUAUAAUUUUAGAAAUUGUAUCAUUGAGUUAUAUUAAUAUAUUUUCUUUUUUUCUUUUUUUCUUUUCUACAGGAUUAACAGUUAGAUAUUCAAUUCGUUUAGUUUAUUAUUCAUUAGUUGGAAAUUUUAAUUUUUAUAGUUUAAAUUUAUUGAGAGAUAAUAGUUGAAUUAUAUUAAAAGGAAUAUCUGGUUUAUUAUUUAUAAGAAUUAUUGGUGGAGGAUUUUUAAAUUGACUGUUAUUUGGCACCCCUUCAAUAAUUUGUUUACCUUUUUUAUUAAAAUUAUUAACUUUAAUUGUGUGUAUUUUAGGGGGAUUAGUAGGAUAUUAUAUUUCAAAAAUUUCUUUAUAUUUUUUCAAUAAAUCUUUACAAAAUUAUUUUAUUUCUUUAUUUUUUGGUUCGAUGUGAUUUAUGCCUAAUAUUGUUACAUAUGGGUUAAUUUUUAAUUUUUUAUUUUUAGGUAAAAAUUUGUAUAAAAGUUUUGAUCAGGGUUGAUCUGAAUUUUUUGGAGGAUUUUAUUUAUAUAAAAAUUUAUUGGGAUAUUCAAAA